UGGGAUGUGGCUCAGUGGUAGAGAGCUUAGCUGGCACGUAUGAAGAACACUGGGUUCCAUUCCCAGCACCACAU
RNAcentral lists this transfer RNA (74 nucleotides) under Neotoma lepida (desert woodrat). It matches the Rfam family "tRNA". Rfam says of the family: Transfer RNA (tRNA) molecules are approximately 80 nucleotides in length. Their secondary structure includes four short double-helical elements and three loops (D, anti-codon, and T loops). Further hydrogen bonds mediate the characteristic L-shaped molecular structure. tRNAs have two regions of fundamental functional importance: the anti-codon, which is responsible for specific mRNA codon recognition, and the 3' end, to which the tRNAs corresponding amino acid is attached (by aminoacyl-tRNA synthetases). tRNAs cope with the degeneracy of the genetic code in two manners: having more than one tRNA (with a specific anti-codon) for a particular amino acid; and 'wobble' base-pairing, i.e. permitting non-standard base-pairing at the 3rd anti-codon position. The record is from Rfam by way of RNAcentral. Lineage: Eukaryota; Metazoa; Chordata; Mammalia; Rodentia; Cricetidae.